This 440-nucleotide ribosomal RNA is filed under the name uncultured bacterium. Its description in RNAcentral is "partial 16S ribosomal RNA". It matches the Rfam family "Bacterial small subunit ribosomal RNA", at positions 338 to 795 of the family's 1533-position model. The record is from RNAcentral.
CCUACGGGAGGCAGCAGUGGGGGAUAUUGCACAAUGGGGGGAACCCUGAUGCAGCGACGCCGCGUGGGUGAAGGAGCGUUUCGGCUCGUAAAGCCCUAUCGGCUGUGAAGAAGAUGACGGUACCUUACCAAGAAGCCCCGGCUAACUACGUGCCAGCAGCCGCGGUAAUACGUAGGGGGCAAGCGUUAUCCGGAUUUACUGGGUGUAAAGGGGGCGCAGACGGCAAUGCAAGCCAGGAGUGAAAGCCCGGGGCACAACCGCGGGACUGCUCUUGGAACUGCAGGGCUGGAGUACAGGAGGGGCAGGCGGAAUUCCUAGUGUAGCGGUGAAAUGCGUAGAUAUUAGGAGGAACACCAGUGGCGAAGGCGGCCUGCUGGCCGGUGACUGACGUUGAGGCCCGAAGGCGUGGGGAGCAAACAGGAUUAGAUACCCUUGUAGUC